AGUGUAGCUCAACUGGCAGAGCACCGGUCUCCAAAACCGGGGGUUGGGGGUUCGAGUCCCUCCACUC
RNAcentral lists this transfer RNA (67 nucleotides) under Minwuia thermotolerans. It matches the Rfam family "tRNA". Rfam says of the family: Transfer RNA (tRNA) molecules are approximately 80 nucleotides in length. Their secondary structure includes four short double-helical elements and three loops (D, anti-codon, and T loops). Lineage: Bacteria; Pseudomonadati; Pseudomonadota; Alphaproteobacteria; Minwuiales; Minwuiaceae. RNAcentral also lists the same sequence under 1 other name. The record is from RNAcentral.